GAUGAACGCUGACAGAAUGCUUAACACAUGCAAGUCAACUUGAAUUUGGGUUUUUAACUUAGGUUUGGGUGGCGGACGGGUGAGUAACGCGUAAAGAACUUGCCUCACAGCUAGGGACAACAUUUGGAAACGAAUGCUAAUACCUAAUAUUAUGAUAAUAGGGCAUCCUAUAAUUAUGAAAGCUAUAAGCGCUGUGAGAGAGCUUUGCGUCCCAUUAGCUAGUUGGAGAGGUAACGGCUCACCAAGGCGAUGAUGGGUAGCCGGCCUGAGAGGGUGAUCGGCCACAAGGGGACUGAGACACGGCCCUUACGCCUACGGGAGGCAGCAGUGGGGAAUAUUGGACGAUGGACCGAGAGUCUGAUCCAGCAAUUCUGUGUGCACGAUGAAGUUUUUCGGAAUGUAAAGUGCUUUCAGUUGGGAAGAAACAAAUGACGGUACCAACAGAAGAAGUGACGGCUAAAUACGUG
This 467-nucleotide ribosomal RNA is filed under the name uncultured bacterium. RNAcentral describes it as "partial 16S ribosomal RNA". It matches the Rfam family "Bacterial small subunit ribosomal RNA", at positions 28 to 507 of the family's 1533-position model. The record is from RNAcentral.